CACGUAGGCACCAAGCGUUGUCCGGAUUUAUUGGGCGUAAAGAGCUCGUAGGCGGUUCGGUAAGUCGGGUGUGAAAACUUUGGGCUCAACCCAAAGCCUGCACCCGAUACUGCUGUGACUUGAGUCCGGUAGGGGAGUGGGGAAUUCCUGGUGUAGCGGUGGAAUGCGCAGAUAUCAGGAGGAACACCGGUGGCGAAGGCGCCACUCUGGGCCGGUACUGACGCUGAGGCGCGAAAGCGUGGGGAGCGAACAGG
Molecule: ribosomal RNA, 254 nt
Filed under: uncultured bacterium
Lineage: Bacteria
Description: partial 16S ribosomal RNA
Rfam family: Bacterial small subunit ribosomal RNA
Source: RNAcentral